Molecule: non-coding RNA, 884 nt
Organism: Xyrichtys novacula (pearly razorfish)
Lineage: Eukaryota; Metazoa; Chordata; Actinopteri; Labriformes; Labridae
Source: the annotation of a GenBank genome assembly
CUCAAAUAUCCUAUAUGAAACUUUUUUUCCUUUCAAAAUAGGGAAAAAAAAUCUAAUUUAUAACUUUGUGUGUAUAUCAACAAUAGUUUAUCAAAUGUUUUCUAAAGAAAUCCCAGGCAAGACUAUAUAAAUGCUUUAAGAAAAAACACAAACUAACAACAAUUUUUAAAUCUUAGAACUUUGUGCUUGAAAUAAUAUCUAACUCAAAUAUUCUAUAUGCAACUUUUUUUUUCUUCAAAAAUCAGGGACGCAGAUGUGGUGGUGCUGAUGACACUUCUUCUGGUGAAACUCUGGAUCCACAGACAGGAAGGACCUAGAACAACAAUCACACUUUUGCAAAAUUAGGGAUUUUUCAAAGCAGUGUUUGUAUUAAAUGUAUGGCUUUUUUCAAAAGAUGGUUUCUCAAAGAUUGUCUCAAAAGAUAGGUUUGAUAAAGAUUGUCUCAAAAGAUAGGUUUGAUAACAAAGAUUGUCUCAAAAGAUAGGUUUGAUAACAAACGUUCUCAAGUUGAUUUGAUAACAAACGUUCUCAAGUGAUUGGUAACACACGUUCUCAAGUGACUGGUAACACACGUUCUCAAGUGACUGGUAACACACGUUUCUGAGUGAUUGGUAACACAGGUUUGAAUGAUUGGUAACACACGUUUGAAUGAUUGUUUUAGUAGUCAGAGUGGGAUAGAAGGGGGAUAGAAAGACAGAUCGCUUUUCAAUCAGACAGAGCGGUAGAGGAGACAGGAAAGACAGAGCGGCCAAAACUUAGCUAGAGGGAUAGAGAAAAGGGGGACACAAGAUAGAGGGCUUUUCAAUCAGACAGAGCGGUAGAGGAGACAGGAAAGACAGAGCGGCCAAAAUGAUAGGGGAGAGUGGGGAGACUGGACAGGAUAC